This is a long non-coding RNA of Pelobates fuscus (common spadefoot toad), 913 nucleotides long. RefSeq lists it as uncharacterized. Lineage: Eukaryota; Metazoa; Chordata; Amphibia; Anura; Pelobatidae. The record is from RefSeq and is a predicted model, not a curated record. The transcript is spliced from 2 exons.
CUUCUGGAAUAAAAGGGAAUCAUGACAUGUCACACAUGUCAUGUGUCCUUAAGGGCUUAAAGAAAAACACUGCUUUCAGUAUUACAAAAAUUCGAUUAACAGGCCCACGUUUUGGGUUUUGCCCCAUCUCCUGGUUUAAAUGCGAUAAAUUGAAUUAUGUACAAUAAAAACCCCUCAACAUCAUAUUCCUAAAGAAAAGAUAGUCCUCUAAAGGGUGACUAGAAAGACUGGAACUUCUGAAUGUGAAAUCCCAUCAUGUUGAUUGCUGCAAGACAAUCUCCGUUAGCGAAAACUAGCAGUAAAUCUGUUCUUGCUCAGUAGAUGUAAGUUGGAUUAUACGCAUGAAGAUAAUUCUAUAAAACCUCUACCCUGCAAAGGCUAGGGUUUAAAUUGAAAACUGGAAUCAAGUUCAUUGUAAUAUAACCUAUCUCCCAACAAUCCUGAUCUCUGCAUCUAUGACAACCAGAAAAAAGUCCCCAAAAGAGCAGUGCGUCAUUAAAGAUGCGGCUAUCUUUAAAGUGCUUGAGACCCAAUAUUUCUUAAUAAAAUCUUGUUGUCAUAACUACCUGUUGGGUACAUAGCUUUUGUGAGUUAACCGAGAGCUAUGGUGUAAAUAACCCUGUAAAUGUAUUGUGGGCAUAUGAAGAGAUGGCAAAGUAAAACAACACAACCCCUCAAAACUUGUGAUGUGCACCAUGUCUCUAUUUAUACAAAGUGUAAAUAGUUUAUAAAUAUUUCUAUUUAUAGAAGGGGGACGUGCUUUGAUUUUAAUAAAGGGGAAUAUGUUUUGUAAAAUAUAUUAUCAGCUGACAUUUAGAUUACUGUAAAAUACAAAUAACUGAAAAAUAACAUGAUUUUCACUUUUUGUGCUUAAGGUUUUCCGAUUUCUGAAAAUACAUAUUAUACAGACUUA